ACACUGGGCAAAAGAGGACACAUUGACAACACACAGAAAAACUAAGAUUGAUAGUCAACCUAAAACCAGAAUCUAGGAGGAACUGGCAUUAAUUAUAAGGGGGUUAGAUCUGGAUUGUGAAACACAUAUCAAGGCUUAAACACAUGGCAUAGUGAAUGAAAUUACCAUUUUUAAUGUAAUAUAUAAAAUACACUCUUCUAAAUGCAAACAUCUUAAAUAUUUUCAACUAAACUUAAACAUAAGUGCUAAAGGGUCACAUUAAAAAAAUAAAAACCUCAGAAUUUUACUCAGGGACUCAAAAUGCUUUUAUAUAAGAAGACUUAUGUAAUGAAUGAGUCUUCCUGCAUGGGAAGUUUCAAUAUUCUAAAGAUGUCAAUUCCCUUCCAACUAUAAAUAUUAGGUACUCCAACUACAGUUACAUCAUAAGAUGUAAUACUAAAGUAUUACAUAAAAAUGUAGAUAUGGCUGGGCACGGUGGCUCACACCCAUAAUGCCAGCACUUUAGGAGGCCAAGGAGGGCAGAUCACUUGAGGUCAGGAGUUACAGACCAGUCUAGCCAACAUGGUGAAACCCUAUCUCUACAAAAAAUACAAAAAUCAGCUGGGCAUGGUGGUGGGCACCUGUGUUCUAGCUACUCGGGAAGCUGAGGCAGAGAAUUGCUUGAACCCAGGAGGCAGAGGUUGCAGUGAGCCGAGAUCGCACCACUGCACUACAGCCUGGGUGACAGAGAGAGACUCCAUCUCAAAAAAGAAAAAAAAAGGUAGAUACGUAUUUACUGGCAGUGACAGAGAUUCACAGUACAUUAUUAAGUAGAAAUUUAAGCUCUGAAACAGUGUACAUGCAUUCUUAUUAAGUAUCUUCAUAUUUAAUUU
This 872-nucleotide long non-coding RNA is filed under the name Homo sapiens (human). Its description in RNAcentral is "non-protein coding lnc-RHBDD1-4:1". Lineage: Eukaryota; Metazoa; Chordata; Mammalia; Primates; Hominidae. The record is from RNAcentral.